Molecule: ribosomal RNA, 460 nt
Filed under: uncultured bacterium
Lineage: Bacteria
Description: partial 16S ribosomal RNA
Rfam family: Bacterial small subunit ribosomal RNA
Source: RNAcentral
CCUACGGGUGGCAGCAGUGCGGAAUAUUGGUCAAUGGGAGGAAUCCUGAACCAGCCAUGCCGCGUGCAGGAUGACUGCCCUACGAGUUGUAAACUUCUUUUGUACCGGAAUAAAAUGAGUCACGUGUGCGUUUUUGUAUGUACUUUACGAAUAAGGAUCGGCUAACUCCGUGCCAGCAGCCGCGGUAAUACGGAGGAUCCGAGCGUUAUCCGGAUUUAUUGGGUUUAAAGGGAGCGCAGGUGGUCUGUUAAGUCAGAUGUGAAAGUUUGCGGCUUAACCGGAAAAGUGCAAUUGAAACUGGGAGACGUGAGUACAGAUGAGGUAGGCGGAACUCGAUGUGUAGCGGUGAAAUGCGUAGAUAUCAGGAAGAACACCAGUUGCGAAGGCAGCUCACUAAUCUGUCACUGACACUGAGGUUCGAAAGCGUGGGUAGCAAACAGGAUUAGAUACCCCAGUAGUC